UGGGGAAUAUUGCACAAUGGGCGCAAGCCUGAUGCAGCCAUGCCGCGUGUAUGAAGAAGGCCUUCGGGUUGUAAAGUACUUUCAGUCGGGAGGAAGGUGUCAAGGUUAAUAACCUUGGCAAUUGACGUUACCGACAGAAGAAGCACCGGCUAACUCCGUGCCAGCAGCCGCGGUAAUACGGAGGGUGCAAGCGUUAAUCGGAAUUACUGGGCGUAAAGCGCACGCAGGCGGUUGAUUGAGUCAGAUGUGAAAUCCCCGGGCUUAACCCGGGAAUUGCAUCUGAUACUGGUCAGCUAGAGUCGUGUAGAGGGGGGUAGAAUUCCAUGUGUAGCGGUGAAAUGCGUAGAGAUGUGGAGGAAUACCGGUGGCGAAGCCGGCCCCCUGGACAAAGACUGAAGCUCAGGUGCGAAAGCGUGGGGAGCAAACAGG
This 429-nucleotide ribosomal RNA is filed under the name Acidobacteriota bacterium. RNAcentral's name for it is "Acidobacteria bacterium partial 16S ribosomal RNA". It matches the Rfam family "Bacterial small subunit ribosomal RNA", at positions 355 to 776 of the family's 1533-position model. The record is from RNAcentral. Lineage: Bacteria; Pseudomonadati; Acidobacteriota.